UGAAUACGAGACGCUACGGCGUCGAAGCAGUCUAUGUCAUACUUCCAAGAAAAGCUUGCACUGUCAUAAACAAAUAAUGCCUGUACCAUAACCGACACAGGUGGGUAGGUAGAGUAUACUAAGGGGCGCGAGAUAACUCUCUCUAAGGAACUCGGCAAAAUGACUCCGUAACUUCGGGAGAAGGAGUGCCUUAUUUAUAAGGUUGCAAUAACAAGAUCCAAGCAACUGUUUAUCAAAAACACAGGUCUCCGCUAAGUCGUAAGACGAUGUAUGGGGGCUGACGCCUGCCCAGUGCCAGAAGGUUAAAGAAGUUGGUUAGCAUUAGCGAAGCUGAUAACUGAAGCCCUGGUGAACGGCGGCCGUAACUAUAACGGUCCUAAGGUAGCGAAAUUCCUUGUCGGGUAAGUUCCGACCCGCACGAAAGGCGUAAUGAUUUGGAUACUGUCUCGGAGAGGGGCUCGGUGAAAUAGACUUGUCUGUGAAGAUGCGGACUACCUGCACCUGGACAGAAAGACCCUAUGAAGCUUUACUGUAACCUGAAAUUGAAAUUGGACUUUAUUUGCGCAGUAUAGGUGGGAGGCGUUGAGAAUAUUCUUGCGGGAAUAUUGGAGCCAUCAGUGAGAUACCACUCUUGUAAUGUUAGAUUUCUAACUUUGAAUCAUUAUCUGGUCAAAGAACAGUUUCAGGCGGGCAGUUUGACUGGGGCGGUCGCCUCCUAAAUGGUAACGGAGGCGCACAAAGGUUUCCUCUGAACGGGUAGAAAUCGUAUCUAGAGUGCAAAGGCAUAAGGAAGCUUGACUGUGAGACCUACAAGUCGAGCAGGGACGAAAGUCGGUCUUAGUGAUCUGACGGUGCUGAGUGGGAAGGCCGUCACUCAACGGAUAAAAGUUACUCUAAGGAUAACAGGCUGAUCUCCCCCAAGAGUUCACAUCGACGGGGAGGUUUGGCACCUCGAUGUCGGCUCAUCGCAUCCUGGGGCGGUAGUACGUCCCAAGGGUUGGGCUGUUCGCCCAUGAAAGCGGUACGCGAGCUGGGUUCAGAACGUCGUGAGACAGUUCGGUCCAUAUCCGGUGUAGGCGUUAGAAUAUUGAGAGGAGCCUUCUUUAGUACGAGAGGACCGAGAAGGACAUACCUCUGGUGUACCAGUUAUCGUGCCAACGGUAAAUGCUGGGUAGCUAUGUACGGAGAGGAUAACCGCUGAAAGCAUCUAAGUGGGAAGCCCACCUCAAGAUAAG
This 1235-nucleotide ribosomal RNA is filed under the name metagenome. RNAcentral's name for it is "bacterial LSU rRNA". It matches the Rfam family "Bacterial large subunit ribosomal RNA", at positions 1564 to 2808 of the family's 2925-position model. The record is from RNAcentral.